CCUUCCGUAGGUGAACCUGCGGAAGGAUCAUUG
RNAcentral lists this ribosomal RNA (33 nucleotides) under Prunus avium (sweet cherry). Its description in RNAcentral is "partial 18S ribosomal RNA". RNAcentral also lists the same sequence under 9 other names. Lineage: Eukaryota; Viridiplantae; Streptophyta; Magnoliopsida; Rosales; Rosaceae. The record is from RNAcentral.